AGGUAUGUAUGCAAGUACAGUGAUACAGGAAAACAGGUACUAACAAGAGCAAAGCAGCGGGCAACAUAUUUGCGAUAUCCUGUCGUUCUUAUCAAACCGGAAUUCUUUUUCGAGCAGAUUUCCUGCAAAAAAGAUCCGUAAGGCACAUGCGGAAAAGUAGAAGUUCAAAUUGUCAUGCGAUAUCAUAGACAGUUCCUCAUCCUCGGAACGAGACCAGUGCAUAACAAGGUUUUUCCAUUCAAUGUCUUCUAAAUUUAGCACAGGAGACUUCACCAGAAAUUCGUUUAUAGACUUGCCAUCAAAGUGUGAUUUCCUCAGGUAACACCGAUACUGCUGCAAUGCUUCCUUGAAAAGCGCAAGCAAGCUUUGCUCGUCAUGAC
Molecule: long non-coding RNA, 380 nt
Filed under: Triticum aestivum (bread wheat)
Lineage: Eukaryota; Viridiplantae; Streptophyta; Magnoliopsida; Poales; Poaceae
Description: long non-coding RNA (TAES_LNC000044)
Source: RNAcentral